GCGUCCUUAGUGUAGUGGAUAUCACGUAAGAUUCCGGUUCUUGAGACGGGGUUCGAUUCCCUCAGGACGCG
RNAcentral lists this transfer RNA (71 nucleotides) under Enterococcus faecalis. Its description in RNAcentral is "tRNA-Arg". It matches the Rfam family "tRNA". From Rfam's summary of the family: Transfer RNA (tRNA) molecules are approximately 80 nucleotides in length. Their secondary structure includes four short double-helical elements and three loops (D, anti-codon, and T loops). Further hydrogen bonds mediate the characteristic L-shaped molecular structure. tRNAs have two regions of fundamental functional importance: the anti-codon, which is responsible for specific mRNA codon recognition, and the 3' end, to which the tRNAs corresponding amino acid is attached (by aminoacyl-tRNA synthetases). tRNAs cope with the degeneracy of the genetic code in two manners: having more than one tRNA (with a specific anti-codon) for a particular amino acid; and 'wobble' base-pairing, i.e. permitting non-standard base-pairing at the 3rd anti-codon position. The record is from RNAcentral. RNAcentral also lists the same sequence under 3 other names. Lineage: Bacteria; Bacillati; Bacillota; Bacilli; Lactobacillales; Enterococcaceae.